GACGAACGCUGGCGGCGUGCUUAACACAUGCAAGUCGAACGGUUAGGCCCUUCGGGGUACACGAGUGGCGAACGGGUGAGUAACACGUGGGUGAUCUGCCCUGCACUUCGGGAUAAGCCUGGGAAACUGGGUCUAAUACCGGAUAGGACCCUGGGAUGCAUGUCCUGGGGUGGGAAGCUUUUGCGGUGUGGGAUGGGCCCGCGGCCUUUCAGCUUGUUGGUGGGGUGAUGGCCUACCAAGGCGACGACGGGUAGCCGGCCUGAGAGGGUGACCGGCCACACUGGGACUGAGAUACGGCCCAGACUCCUACGGGAGGCAGCAGUGGGGAAUAUUGCACAAUGGGCGCAAGCCUGAUGCAGCGACGCCGCGUGAGGGAUGACGGCCUUCGGGUUGUAAACCUCUUUCAGCACUGACGAAGCGCAAGUGACGGUAGGUGCAGAAGAAGGACCGGCCAACUACGUGCCAGCCGCCGCGGUAA
RNAcentral lists this ribosomal RNA (478 nucleotides) under uncultured bacterium. Its description in RNAcentral is "partial 16S ribosomal RNA". It matches the Rfam family "Bacterial small subunit ribosomal RNA", at positions 28 to 523 of the family's 1533-position model. The record is from RNAcentral.